GCGAGCGUGGUUCAGUGGUAAAACAUCUCCUUGCC
Molecule: transfer RNA, 35 nt
Filed under: Echinolaena gracilis
Lineage: Eukaryota; Viridiplantae; Streptophyta; Magnoliopsida; Poales; Poaceae
Description: partial tRNA-Gly
Source: RNAcentral